CUGGGAAGUGGGGCACCAGGAGCCACUGGAUCGUGGAGUCUGACUUCAAAAGGAUCACUUGACAGUUGGAGGCCCUGGCAUCCAAGUCAAAGAAAACUCAUCAGUGGGCCAGUUCCAGCUGCUGUGUCAUUGGUUUUCAGUCUUAGGUCAAAAGCAGUGCCUGCAUCAUGAAGAUGGGGAAACUGAGGCCCAGAAAUGAGAAGAGAAUUGUUGAGGUAAAAAUCAAUCCAUUUUAGACUAAGCUGGAGUCACACUCAUUAGUAUGCCUUAUAGUUUC
This 277-nucleotide long non-coding RNA is filed under the name Chinchilla lanigera (long-tailed chinchilla). Its description in RNAcentral is "lncRNA (ENSCLAG00000024103.1)". Lineage: Eukaryota; Metazoa; Chordata; Mammalia; Rodentia; Chinchillidae. The record is from RNAcentral.